RNAcentral lists this ribosomal RNA (168 nucleotides) under uncultured rumen bacterium. Its description in RNAcentral is "partial 16S ribosomal RNA". It matches the Rfam family "Bacterial small subunit ribosomal RNA", at positions 340 to 524 of the family's 1533-position model. The record is from RNAcentral.
UACGGGAGGCAGCAGUGGGGAAUAUUGGGCAAUGGGCGAAAGCCUGACCCAGCAACGCCGCGUGAAGGAUGAAGGUCUUCGGAUUGUAAACUUCUUUGAUUGGGGAAGAAUAAAUGGCCUACCCAAAGAACAAGUCACGGCUAACUACGUGCCAGCAGCCGCGGUAAU